CUUUUGAAAGCUAAUCUAGCAUUGAGCUUUUAACUCAAAGAUAGUUAUAUCUAUAACUCAAAAGA
RNAcentral lists this transfer RNA (65 nucleotides) under Urechis unicinctus. Its description in RNAcentral is "tRNA-Lys". Lineage: Eukaryota; Metazoa; Annelida; Polychaeta; Xenopneusta; Urechidae. The record is from RNAcentral.